RNAcentral lists this ribosomal RNA (485 nucleotides) under uncultured bacterium. Its description in RNAcentral is "partial 16S ribosomal RNA". It matches the Rfam family "Bacterial small subunit ribosomal RNA", at positions 30 to 506 of the family's 1533-position model. The record is from RNAcentral.
AUUGAACGCUGGCGGCAUGCCUUACACAUGCAAGUCGUACGGCAGCACGGGUGCUUGCACCUGGUGGCGAGUGGCGAACGGGUGAGUAAUACAUCGGAACAUGUCCUGUAGCGGGGGAUAGCCCGGCGAAAGCCGGAUUAAUACCGCAUACGAUCUACGGAUGAAAGCGGGGGACCUUCGGGCCUCGCGCUAUAGGGUUGGCCGAUGGCUGAUUAGCUAGUUGGUGGGGUAAAGGCCUACCAAGGCGACGAUCAGUAGCUGGUCUGAGAGGACGACCAGCCACACUGGGACUGAGACACGGCCCAGACUCCUACGGGAGGCAGCAGUGGGGAAUUUUGGACAAUGGGCGAAAGCCUGAUCCAGCAAUGCCGCGUGUGUGAAGAAGGCCUUCGGGUUGUAAAGCACUUUUGUCCGGAAAGAAAUCCUUGGCCCUAAUACGGUCGGGGGAUGACGGUACCGGAAGAAUAAGCACCGGCUAACUACGU